UAGUCCACGCCGUAAACGAUGAGUGCUAGACGUCGCGGGUAUUGACCCCUGCGGUGUCGUAGUUAACGCGUUAAGCACUCCGCCUGGGGAGUACGGCCGCAAGGUUAAAACUCAAAGGAAUUGACGGGGCCCGCACAAGCGGUGGAGCAUGUGGUUUAAUUCGACGCAACGCGCAGAACCUUACCCAGGUUGGAAAUCCCGAGAAUCCCCUAGAGAUAGGGGAGUGCCCUUCGGGGAAUUCGGUGUCCAGGUGCUGCAUGGCUGUCGUCAGCUCGUGUCGUGAGAUGUUGGGUUAAGUCCCGCAACGAGCGCAACCCUUGUCGUUAGUUGCCAGCGAGUCAUGUCGGGCACUCUAGCGAGACUGCCGGUGUUAAGCCGGAGGAAGGUGGGGAUGACGUCAAGUCCUCAUGGGCCCUUAUGCCUGGGGGCUACACACGUGCUACAAUGGCCGGUACAAAGGGGUCGCAACAUCGCGAGGUGAAGCCAAUCCCAAAAA
RNAcentral lists this ribosomal RNA (496 nucleotides) under uncultured bacterium. RNAcentral's name for it is "bacterial SSU rRNA". It matches the Rfam family "Bacterial small subunit ribosomal RNA", at positions 791 to 1280 of the family's 1533-position model. The record is from RNAcentral.